AACGAACGCUGGCGGCAUGCCUAACACAUGCAAGUCGAACGAAGCCUUCGGGCUUAGUGGCGCACGGGUGCGUAACGCGUGGGAAUCUGCCCUUUGGUUCGGAAUAACGGUUGGAAACGACUGCUAAUACCGGAUGAUGACGAAAGUCCCAAUAUUUAUCGCCAGAGGAUGAGCCCGGGUAGGAUUAGCUAGUUGGUGUGGUAAAGGCGCACCAAGGCGACGAUCCUUACCUGGUCUUAGAGGAUGAUCAGCCACACUGGGACUGAGACACGGCCCAGACUCCUACGGGAGGCAGCAGUGGGGAAUAUUGGACAAUGGGCGAAAGCCUGAUCCAGCAAUGCCGCGUGAGUGAUGAAGGCCCUAGGGUUGUAAAGCUCUUUUACCCGGGAUGAUAAUGACAGUACCGGGAGAAUAAGCCCCGGCUAACUCCGUGCCAGCCGCCGCCGUAA
This 449-nucleotide ribosomal RNA is filed under the name uncultured bacterium. Its description in RNAcentral is "partial 16S ribosomal RNA". It matches the Rfam family "Bacterial small subunit ribosomal RNA", at positions 29 to 523 of the family's 1533-position model. The record is from RNAcentral.